CACGUAGGCGGGAAUUUAAGUCAGAUGUGAAAGACCGGGGCUCAACUCCGGGGUUGCAUUUGAAACUGAAUUUCUUGAGGGCAGGAGAGGAAAGCAGAAUUCCUGGUGUAGCGGUGAAAUGCGUAGAAAUCAGGAGGAAUACCAGUGGCGAAGGCGGCUUUCUGGACUGACCCUGACGCUGAGGUGCGAAAGCGUGGGUAGCAAACAG
Molecule: ribosomal RNA, 208 nt
Filed under: uncultured Syntrophobacteraceae bacterium
Lineage: Bacteria; Pseudomonadati; Thermodesulfobacteriota; Syntrophobacteria; Syntrophobacterales; Syntrophobacteraceae
Description: partial 16S ribosomal RNA
Rfam family: Bacterial small subunit ribosomal RNA
Source: RNAcentral